GGGCACUUGGCUCAGUUGGUAGCGCGCUCGCUUCGCAUUAGUGGUUUGCGAGAGGUCAGGAGUUCGACUCUCCUAGUGUCCA
This 82-nucleotide transfer RNA is filed under the name Lentinula boryana. RNAcentral's name for it is "tRNA-Ala". It matches the Rfam family "tRNA". From Rfam's summary of the family: Transfer RNA (tRNA) molecules are approximately 80 nucleotides in length. Their secondary structure includes four short double-helical elements and three loops (D, anti-codon, and T loops). Further hydrogen bonds mediate the characteristic L-shaped molecular structure. tRNAs have two regions of fundamental functional importance: the anti-codon, which is responsible for specific mRNA codon recognition, and the 3' end, to which the tRNAs corresponding amino acid is attached (by aminoacyl-tRNA synthetases). tRNAs cope with the degeneracy of the genetic code in two manners: having more than one tRNA (with a specific anti-codon) for a particular amino acid; and 'wobble' base-pairing, i.e. permitting non-standard base-pairing at the 3rd anti-codon position. The record is from RNAcentral. Lineage: Eukaryota; Fungi; Basidiomycota; Agaricomycetes; Agaricales; Omphalotaceae.